This 1434-nucleotide ribosomal RNA is filed under the name Lactiplantibacillus plantarum. RNAcentral describes it as "bacterial SSU rRNA". It matches the Rfam family "Bacterial small subunit ribosomal RNA". The record is from RNAcentral. Lineage: Bacteria; Bacillati; Bacillota; Bacilli; Lactobacillales; Lactobacillaceae.
UACAUGCAAGUCGAACGAACUCUGGUAUUGAUUGGUGCUUGCAUCAUGAUUUACAUUUGAGUGAGUGGCGAACUGGUGAGUAACACGUGGGAAACCUGCCCAGAAGCGGGGGAUAACACCUGGAAACAGAUGCUAAUACCGCAUAACAACUUGGACCGCAUGGUCCGAGUUUGAAAGAUGGCUUCGGCUAUCACUUUUGGAUGGUCCCGCGGCGUAUUAGCUAGAUGGUGAGGUAACGGCUCACCAUGGCAAUGAUACGUAGCCGACCUGAGAGGGUAAUCGGCCACAUUGGGACUGAGACACGGCCCAAACUCCUACGGGAGGCAGCAGUAGGGAAUCUUCCACAAUGGACGAAAGUCUGAUGGAGCAACGCCGCGUGAGUGAAGAAGGGUUUCGGCUCGUAAAACUCUGUUGUUAAAGAAGAACAUAUCUGAGAGUAACUGUUCAGGUAUUGACGGUAUUUAACCAGAAAGCCACGGCUAACUACGUGCCAGCAGCCGCGGUAAUACGUAGGUGGCAAGCGUUGUCCGGAUUUAUUGGGCGUAAAGCGAGCGCAGGCGGUUUUUUAAGUCUGAUGUGAAAGCCUUCGGCUCAACCGAAGAAGUGCAUCGGAAACUGGGAAACUUGAGUGCAGAAGAGGACAGUGGAACUCCAUGUGUAGCGGUGAAAUGCGUAGAUAUAUGGAAGAACACCAGUGGCGAAGGCGGCUGUCUGGUCUGUAACUGACGCUGAGGCUCGAAAGUAUGGGUAGCAAACAGGAUUAGAUACCCUGGUAGUCCAUACCGUAAACGAUGAAUGCUAAGUGUUGGAGGGUUUCCGCCCUUCAGUGCUGCAGCUAACGCAUUAAGCAUUCCGCCUGGGGAGUACGGCCGCAAGGCUGAAACUCAAAGGAAUUGACGGGGGCCCGCACAAGCGGUGGAGCAUGUGGUUUAAUUCGAAGCUACGCGAAGAACCUUACCAGGUCUUGACAUACUAUGCAAAUCUAAGAGAUUAGACGUUCCCUUCGGGGACAUGGAUACAGGUGGUGCAUGGUUGUCGUCAGCUCGUGUCGUGAGAUGUUGGGUUAAGUCCCGCAACGAGCGCAACCCUUAUUAUCAGUUGCCAGCAUUAAGUUGGGCACUCUGGUGAGACUGCCGGUGACAAACCGGAGGAAGGUGGGGAUGACGUCAAAUCAUCAUGCCCCUUAUGACCUGGGCUACACACGUGCUACAAUGGAUGGUACAACGAGUUGCGAACUCGCGAGAGUAAGCUAAUCUCUUAAAGCCAUUCUCAGUUCGGAUUGUAGGCUGCAACUCGCCUACAUGAAGUCGGAAUCGCUAGUAAUCGCGGAUCAGCAUGCCGCGGUGAAUACGUUCCCGGGCCUUGUACACACCGCCCGUCACACCAUGAGAGUUUGUAACACCCAAAGUCGGUGGGGUAACCUUUUAGGAACCA